CCUACGGGUGGCAGCAGUAGGGAAUAUUGCUCAAUGGGCGAAAGCCUGAAGCAGCAACGCCGCGUGGGGGAUGACGGUUUUCGGAUUGUAAACUCCUUUUGUUAGAGAAGAUAAUGACGGUAUCUAACGAAUAAGCACCGACUAACUCCGUGCCAGCAGACGCGGUACUACGGAGGGUGCAAGCGUUACUCGGAAUCACUGGGCGUAAAGGGCGCGUAGGCGGGAUAGCAAGUCAGAUGUGAAAGCCUAGGGCUUAACCAGAGAACUGCAUUUGAAACUGUUAUUCUAGAGUAUGGGAGAGGUAGGUGGAAUUCGUGGUGUAGCGGUGAAAUCCGUAGAGAUCAAGAGGAAUACUCAUUGCGAAGGCGACCUGCUAGAACAUAACUGACGCUGAUGCGCGAAAGCGUGGGGAGCAAACAGGAUUAGAUACCCGAGUAGUC
Molecule: ribosomal RNA, 440 nt
Filed under: uncultured bacterium
Lineage: Bacteria
Description: partial 16S ribosomal RNA
Rfam family: Bacterial small subunit ribosomal RNA
Source: RNAcentral